CCCAUCGGACUAAUAACUCCUCUCCCCCUCCCCCUGUCAUCCUCCUCCUCCAAAACAAAAACGCGCGCAGCACACACACAAACCGUGUCGGGGAGUCAGCAGCACCUCGCUGAGGCGUAGGGCUGGUUCCUGCAACUUCUAGCCCCGUCCCUGAUGGGGGACCUCUGAAGAGGGUGGCUGAGCCAGACACGUCCAGGUCAGAAGCGAUCGACAGCAAUUAGCCUUUCCCGUCAAACGCCUCCCUCCACCCAAAGGAGCCAGGCGCUUGGAGGAGGCGGAGGAAAGCGGAAGGUGUAUCAAUCACACCAAGGUAAAGUGUGAUUGUCAGACAAGCAUGAUUGCUGCCACAACACCUUACAGCAAUAGGUGCCAUAUUGCAUUUGCUCUUCAAAUGGUGGAAUACAGCUGUGGAUACUUUAGUGGGGAUUAACAGAGUACAAACACUGAAUGACUAAAGACAUCAAACAUCAUCAUUUGGAUUUAUACAUCUAUUAAUAAACUGAUAAAACUGGUGGUAGUGGCUCUUGAAGAAAUCAGAAAAUAUGGAAGGUGCUGUUGAAAAUGGUCUGGAGAUCGCUUUGACAAUGAUAUUCUACAAUUAAAAUAAGCUGCUGAAGCAUUGUCACAGGACAGCAAGGAUUGAUGAAUAUCCUUCAGUAUAGGUUCAAAGCAAGAAAUUUGAGAAUCUAGAGGAGCCAAACAAAGAUAAAUAGUGAGCCAAUUUUCCAAACUGGCAAUGACAUACUAGGAUUUGGAAGAAGUACGCUUUUGGAGCUGAGCAUGCACAAGGACCUCAAGAUUUGGCCCUUAGCCCAGUCACAACUGUGUGGCAGAUGAAGAAUGUCCCAAGUGAUUCUUCCAGCACCAGCUGAGAGACUUCUGGCUUAUUUUUGUUCACAUCAGCCACUAACACAUUUUAAGGUAUGAGUCAUGUCAGUACAGUGAAAGAGGAGGAUUUAUAUUUUUGAAGUGGAAUUGUGUAUGUGAUCAAAGGAUUUACAUGCAGCUCUCUGUGCUGUAGUUCCUUCCUGCCCCAGGAGGGACACCUGGGGUUUCCCUGGAUAGGAACGAGGCCCAAAAGUCAAGCCAGUCUUCCUAAGUGAGGGACCUGCUCAGAAACUGCUCACUGAAGGACAGUAGGUCUUGCCUGUCGCUCUUGCUGUUAUGGCAGGAGGUGUUGCAAUGGUGACCAAGCUAUGUCCAGGUUAUGCCUUUCUUCAGAUACUAAGGACUGCAGGAACUCCUUUAUCAUUAAACUUGAAAUAGGCAUUGGUCUGAUAUGCAUCUUGGGUGAUACUGCAACAUGCUCCUGGCAUAUUAGCAGGCUUCGAGCUGCGCUGUUUGGAAGAAGCAACGUCGUCUUCCCUCACAGCUACGACGCGGCACCGCUCUCAGCAUAUCCUGCUUUUUUCCCCCAUUUACCUGGGCGGCUUCUGCUGUUUCUGUUGCUGCUGCUGGGGCUGCUGCAGUUUCGCUGCCUGUGCUUCACCCUGGCAUGUCUGAGUCGGGAAUCACUCGUCUGCACGCUGCUAAGGAAGAGCAGCGAUGGAACUCUGGCCACAUUUUUUUUUUCUGGAAGCGAAGGGUUGUGAUGUGGGGUGGGGUUGUUGUUUUUUUUUUGGAAAGGUGGGGACGUUAAUCCAAAGUGAGGUGGGAGAAAGUUUAAAGAAAUAUUACGCAAAAUAAUCCAGCACACGACAAGGGCAUCAGCAGCAAGAAGCCAGCCUCUGCUGCUCGAAAGGAUUACAUGGGAAAAGCCACAGUGGUGCAGUAGUGUUUCACCUCAGCAUUGUGCUGGAGAUGGAUGAAUAAGGUAUCUGAUAUGUCCGCCUGUAAAGGCAAAGCUAUGGGAGGAAGAGAGCGAGAGAGCAAAUGAAAAGGAAGAAGAAACACUGUAUUCUGUUUGUCUGAUUCUGUGCGUUCUUAUUCUAGAGAUGGUUGCAUAAUUUACCAAACAAUGUAUGGACGGAGGGACUGUAAAUUGUAGUCUGAACACUCCCGACGCUGUCAGGGAGGGAACUGAUGGGCUAGGUGACUGCACUGACAUCCCCAGGGAAAACGGCCGUCAUGCAGUAUAUAUUUAUAUAUGUAUGUGUAUCUCUUGUGUGUCCAUGUGUAGACAUGAAAAAAGGCAUUUCUGACCAAUUUAUACAGGAAGUUUGUCACUUUGCUAGAUCAGACUUGAUUACAGCAUAUAUUUUCAGCUACAACUCUACACCCAUUUCCUGAAUCAGAAGGUGCUUUGUGAAAACAGACGUAUGCAGAAUUCUUUUAAGAAAUGUGAAAGCAGCUCCUUUUGAUUUAACACCUUGAAGCACUGAAUCUUCUGCACUGUGCCGAGAGGAACUGUGUGGGUUUUGUUUUCUUCAUCUUAAAAUCUUUAUAAACACAGCUGUAUUCAGUAUGGUGAAAAAUUCUAUAUUGUAAAUAGAAAUGCGAUCAAUCUAAUCAAAAUAAAUGUAUCCCAGAUGACUGCUAGACCAGCUGGCUACCACAGUCUUCAGAUGGCUAAAUGCUCGACUGAGAUAGAUUCAGCAUUAUAUUUACUACUACUUUUUUUUAUUUCAAAAUCAGCCUAUAAUUAAAAAAAGAUUCUUGGUCCGGUUAAAAGAGGCAAUGCUCCACAACUGGCAGUGCAUCAUUCUGAAAUGGACACUGAUAUUUUUCAUUUCUGGACGUGCCUUUGGAAGAUUGUGUUUUAGAACAGAUGGACUUGUCAUCAUACAGACAUACUUAGUAUGGUGAAAACUAGUAGACAGCUCAGGUUGGCCAUAUCCAUAUAAUGUGCAAAAUGAAGUUAAGGGAAACAAAUGCCGCACUCAAGUAGUGGAGACUUGGUAGGAUUUUUAGCAACCACCUACUGUGAGUGUUUUGGGGUUUUUUUAAACACGAAUCCAAAACCCAUAAAGUCAUCUUAAAAUUUGUAUGAGGGGAUUUCCCAAUAGUCAUGGUGAGCUAUCCUGCAAGAUGCCUGCCUGGGCCUUCCACAAUUUGUUACCAGGUCUACAAAGGCAGCCCUGUAUGUUGGAUUAUAUUUAGCCAGCUGUUGGAUAACAUUCCUGUGUUGUGGGCGGAGGAGUCUUAUUACUUCCAAACUGUAGUUAUCUGUUUAAAGGAAAAAUAGUUUUAGAAAAUACAUUGAGCUCAGCUGAGGAGUUGCACCUCUCCUGUACCUUUCUCAAGUGCUGUGUUUCCAACCCAGCCACUUUAAAACAAAACUGGGAGGAGGAAGAGAGACUUUAACUCAGAGCUUCAAAGCUGCAGAGACAAGCAAAAUGUCAGCAGCUUGUAAUUAGCUGCUCAUGGUUACGUCAGUGACUGUAUCUCUCCAAGAAUAACUGUGAUGUGUGCCACAAAGUAAGGAAGAUAGUCAUAACCUAGUUAUCAAGCCUGGUUCAAACAAGAGCAAAUGGAUUAAUGAAUCUGCUGUGUUCAUAAAUCAAAUAUGGAUGGAUUACAUAUAUGACUUACUGAAUUCUGUAUAAUUGAAGGGUGAAUUAGGAACUUGCCAGAGGGCACGUUCACUAAGUAAAAGUGUGAAUCCUUUUAAAAAUGCAGAUGAACUAUCCCUGAAAAUGUCUUUAAGGGCUCCAUCUAGUACAAGCAACUGUGAGACACUGACGCAUGCUACAAAGGAAAACACCAAGAGACACACGGAGGUGCUUAAAAGAAAGGGAGUAAUAAAACACAAAGCAUGCUGAAAUUCUGUUUUGGCAUUACAGAUUUGAUACUAAAAUACCACCCCAGAGAAGACUUAUUGUGGUCUGAUGUGGUUUACAUUGACUCCUCUGUUUGGGUGCAAAAAAAGAAAAAAGAUUUUGUGAGGCUCAGUGCAACAUCUUGGAGCCAAGCAGAAAACCAUCAAUACUGCAGAGUACCAGGAAUGCUUGCUUUUAAAGGGACAAGAUCAAUCCAUGCUAGGAUCCUUCUGUACUCUGCAAUUAUUUUAGGUCUAUGUUGGCAAUUCAGCAACAUUUAAACAGUGAGAUUGUGGGGGGUACUUAAUCUGCUCUGAUUGGCCUUUUUCCACAUUGUUGCUGUAAAAUAUUUACAUGGCUUUUAUCCAUACACCUUACAACAUUCAGUUUGCAUUUCUGUUUGUGUUCAUGCUGCACAAUUGCUACAAGCCUGGUUUGUUUCCAUAUUCCCAGCAGAAGUCAGUUUCAGUUCAGCUAUGUUUAUUUAGCUCCUUAAUACACCAAGAUAGAUAGAUAGAUUGUAUUUUGCAAACACAGAUUUUUUUUUCUUUUUUUUUUUUUACUGCGAACACAAAUUUGUAGGAGGAGAUGACUGUACAUUAAGCCAAUACCUCUUUGAAAUGCAUGUAAUAUAAUUUAAAUAUACUUAAUUUAAUUAAUAGAAGGUUACAAAAGCUGGCAUUGUCUGAGCCUGUUUAAUUUACAUCUUAGACUUAGUCAAUGAGCAUAACCUGCCUGAUCGGAAUAGUGUAUUCUGUGCGCCCAACAGGGUGGAAGACAUUAUUUUGUUUGUGUUAGUUCAAACAGCUGGUCAUUAAUGCAGGACCCAUCUCCAGAGUGAAGUGCUAGUGGACAUGAAUGGCUCCCUGAUUAAUGCUGCCCCUCGAAGGGUCCUUCAUCCAGCAGCGAUGCUUGCAGCAGAAUAAUGCAGCAUGAUUUGAUUGCGCUCUAGCAGGGUAGUAUGUCAUUGUGUCACCAGGCAAUUGAGGUUAUUAUGGAGCAGGGCAGACAGACGGGACAGUGGGGUUACUAGACCGUGGCAUUUUUAGAAAUACAGGCCUGACCUACUUAGAGUUAUUCUUGCCGGCUGGCAGCUUCAUGGUGCAUGGAGUGUCCUGAUAGGCCGAGGCUGUUGCUAGGGGGAAUUAGCAUGAAUUUUUCCACAUACAGACUCGGUGAUUGAAUGAUAAAAGCUGACUGGAAUUAAAGAGAUUCGGUUCAGUAUUAUGCAGAUUUAUCUCCCUCAUUUUUCUCUCUCAAAUGCAGAAAAAGGAGCAAAAGACAGUUUGUUUCCAUUUAUUCUUUGACCUAUUUUUUGCAGAGGAGGGCAAAAGAGUUAUGAAAUGUUAAUCAUUUACUGUUUUAAUGUCUAAAAUGAUGCUGCCUAGGGUAAGAUAUUUAAGUUCAUAGACUGCUUGGAACAGGUAACAGAUUAGGGGUUUUUUUCUCUCUCUCUCCUGUGCACUGCACUAUUUUGAGGCAUGCAUCUUUCAUGUACUGUAUAUUUGAACUCUGUCCCCUUUAGAAGAGAAUGAAACAUGUAUAUAAAUUUUGUUCUAUCCAAACAACUGGCUUGUUUAAAAGAAGCUAUGUAGGAUUCCCAGUUUGGAAAGGAAAAUAUAAUCCAGCUUUUAUUGCAUAACAUUAUUCUUGACUCUUUUUAGCUAUCCUUGCUUCACAAAAUUAGUCUGUUUAUGUUCCUGGAUGAAAGUCUUCUCCCCAGUCUCUGUCUCCCAUAUGCACAGACACACCCAAGAUUUCCUAUAGAGGACAGUGUUGUGUGUAGUGUUUAUCUGGAAAACUGUUUGCAUACUGAUGACAUAUCUGUACUGCAUGUACAGUAGAUACUUAUAGCUGGCCGGUGAUCAGUUUGAUAAGAUAACCUCUUCUGGAUUUCCUAAUAGCUUUCUGUGUUCAGUUUGGAACUGGAUUUUCUCAGUAGCUCUUUUUUUAUACCCAUCCCCUUAAAUCAGUGUGGCGGUGUUUUUUUUAACAGAAUUCUAA
This is a long non-coding RNA of Mauremys mutica (yellowpond turtle), 5702 nucleotides long. RefSeq lists it as uncharacterized. The record is from RefSeq and is a predicted model, not a curated record. NCBI's taxonomy places the organism in Eukaryota, Metazoa, Chordata, Testudines, Geoemydidae. The transcript has 10 exons.